Centruroides sculpturatus (bark scorpion) is the source of this 326-nucleotide long non-coding RNA. RefSeq lists it as uncharacterized. The transcript is spliced from 3 exons. Lineage: Eukaryota; Metazoa; Arthropoda; Arachnida; Scorpiones; Buthidae. The record is from RefSeq and is a predicted model, not a curated record.
AAAUCAUUGCUAUAAUUAAAUCUUUUAGUUUGAAAUUAUCGUGAAUGUAUCUGAAGCAAAAGAAAAACAUAAACCACCACAAAUUAAUCAAGACAUUGAAUUAGAUGUUUUUAAAGACUUUGAUGAAGCAGCCAAUGAAAUUGGUAUAAAUAAAAAAGAUCUGAAUGUUAAUGCAUUUAAACAAUUUGAAAUUGAACUAGAAAUUAAAGGAAAAGUUGUUAGACGAAGAAGAAAUGCCAAUGAUGGUGAUUAUGAUGAUGCAGAUUAUGAAGACAGAGGUAGAGUUGGUGAAAUUGCUGCACCUGAUGAUGUAGAGAGAAGCAAUA